UUAGGCGGACGGGUGGAGUAACGACGUGGAGUAACCUGCCGUAUACCGGGGAGUAACACUUAGAAUAGGUGCUAAUACCGCAUAAGCGCACGGCUCCGCAUGGGGCAGUGUGAAAAACUCCGGUGGUAUACGAUGGAUCCGCGUCUGAUUAGCUAGUUGGCGGGGUAACGGCCCACCAAGGCAGCGAUCAGUAGCCGGCCUGAGAGGGUGGACGGCCACAUUGGGACUGAGACACGGCCCAAACUCCUACGGAAGGCAGCAG
RNAcentral lists this ribosomal RNA (262 nucleotides) under uncultured bacterium. Its description in RNAcentral is "partial 16S ribosomal RNA". It matches the Rfam family "Bacterial small subunit ribosomal RNA", at positions 94 to 354 of the family's 1533-position model. The record is from RNAcentral.